UACAGAGGUCUCAAGCGUUGUUCGGAUUCAUUGGGCGUAAAGGGUGCGUAGGUGGCGGGGUAAGUCAGGUGUGAAAUUUCGGAGCUUAACUCCGAAACUGCAUUUGAUACUGCCUUGCUUGAGGACUGGAGAGGAGAUUGGAAUUCACGGUGUAGCAGUGAAAUGCGUAGAUAUCGUGAGGAAGACCAGUGGCGAAGGCGGAUCUCUGGACAGUUCCUGACACUGAGGCACGAAGGCCAGGGGAGCAAACGGG
RNAcentral lists this ribosomal RNA (253 nucleotides) under uncultured bacterium. RNAcentral describes it as "partial 16S ribosomal RNA". It matches the Rfam family "Bacterial small subunit ribosomal RNA", at positions 524 to 776 of the family's 1533-position model. The record is from RNAcentral.